GAUGAACGCUAGCUACAGGCUUAACACAUGCCAGUCGAGGGGCAGCAUGGUCUUAGCUUGCUAAGGCCGAUGGCGACCGGCGCACGGGUGAGUAACACGUAUCCAACCUGCCGUCUACUCUUGGACAGCCUUCUGAAAGGAAGAUUAAUACAAGAUGGCAUCAUGAGUUCACAUGUUCACAUGAUUAAAGGUAUUCCGGUAGACGAUGGGGAUGCGUUCCAUUAGAUAGUAGGCGGGGUAACGGCCCACCUAGUCUUCGAUGGAUAGGGGUUCUGAGAGGAAGGUCCCCCACAUUUGAACUGAGACACGGUCCAAACUCCUACGGGAGGCAGCAGUGAGGAAUAUUGGUCAAUGGGCGAGAGCCUGAACCAGCCAAGUAGCGUGAAGGAUGACUGCCCUAUGGGUUGUAAACUUCUUUUAUAAAGGAAUAAAGUCGGGUAUGUAUACCCGUUUGCAUGUACUUUAUGAAUAAGGAUCGGCUAACUCCGUG
This 490-nucleotide ribosomal RNA is filed under the name uncultured bacterium. Its description in RNAcentral is "partial 16S ribosomal RNA". It matches the Rfam family "Bacterial small subunit ribosomal RNA", at positions 28 to 507 of the family's 1533-position model. The record is from RNAcentral.